AAACCAACAGGGAUUGCCUUAGUAACGGCGAGUGAAGCGGCAAAAGCUCAAAUUUGAAAUCUAGCACUUUCAGUGUUCGAGUUGUAAUUUGAAGAAGGUAACUUUGGAAUUGGCUCUUGUCUAUGUUCCUUGGAACAGGACGUCACAGAGGGUGAGAAUCCCGUGCGAUGAGAUGUCCAAUUCUAUGUAAAGUGCUUUCGAAGAGUCGAGUUGUUUGGGAAUGCAGCUCUAAGUGGGUGGUAAAUUCCAUCUAAAGCUAAAUAUUGGCGAGAGACCGAUAGCGAACAAGUACAGUGAUGGAAAGAUGAAAAGAACUUUGAAAAGAGAGUGAAAAAGUACGUGAAAUUGUUGAAAGGGAAGGGCUUGAGAUCAGACUUGGUAUUUUGUGUUCCUUAUCCUUCUUGGAUUAGGUUCCUCACAGCUUACCGGGCCAGCAUCGGUUUGGAUGGCAGGAUAAUGACAUUGGAAUGUAGCUUUGCUUCGGUGAAGUGUUAUAGACUUUGUUGAUACUGCCUAUCUAGACCGAGGACUGCGUCUUUGAACUAGGA
Molecule: ribosomal RNA, 548 nt
Filed under: Dujonia oleophila
Lineage: Eukaryota; Fungi; Ascomycota; Pichiomycetes; Serinales; Debaryomycetaceae
Description: LSU rRNA
Rfam family: Eukaryotic large subunit ribosomal RNA
Source: RNAcentral